Ailuropoda melanoleuca (giant panda) is the source of this 45-nucleotide non-coding RNA. NCBI's taxonomy places the organism in Eukaryota, Metazoa, Chordata, Mammalia, Carnivora, Ursidae. The record is from Rfam.
UUAAAGGUUUUUUUCAAAACCAUUUCCUGUAUCUAACAGUAUAUU